RNAcentral lists this ribosomal RNA (553 nucleotides) under uncultured bacterium. Its description in RNAcentral is "bacterial SSU rRNA". It matches the Rfam family "Bacterial small subunit ribosomal RNA", at positions 8 to 521 of the family's 1533-position model. The record is from RNAcentral.
AGAGUUUGAUCCUGGCUCAGGACGAACGCUGGCGGCGUGCCUAAUACAUGCAAGUCGAGCGAGCUUGCCUAGAUGAUUUUAGUGCUUGCACUAAAUGAAACUAGAUACAAGCGAGCGGCGGACGGGUGAGUAACACGUGGGUAACCUGCCCAAGAGACUGGGAUAGCACCUGGAAACAGAUGCUAAUACCGGAUAACAACACUAGACACAUGUCUAGAGUUUAAAGGAUGGUUCUGCUAUCACUCUUGGAUGGACCUGCGGUGCAUUAGCUAGUUGGUAAGGUAACGGCUUACCAAGGCAAUGAUGCAUAGCCGAGUUGAGAGACUGAUCGGCCACAUUGGGACUGAGACACGGCCCAAACUCCUACGGGAGGCAGCAGUAGGGAAUCUUCCACAAUGGACGCAAGUCUGAUGGAGCAACGCCGCGUGAGUGAAGAAGGGUUUCGGCUCGUAAAGCUCUGUUGGUAGUGAAGAAAGAUAGAGGUAGUAACUGGCCUUUAUUUGACGGUAAUUACCUAGAAAGUCACGGCUAACUACGUGCCAGCAGCCGCGGU